This 253-nucleotide ribosomal RNA is filed under the name uncultured bacterium. RNAcentral describes it as "partial 16S ribosomal RNA". It matches the Rfam family "Bacterial small subunit ribosomal RNA", at positions 524 to 776 of the family's 1533-position model. The record is from RNAcentral.
UACGGAGGAUCCAAGCGUUAUCCGGAUUUAUUGGGCUUAAAGGGUGCGUAGGCGGGCUGAUAAGUCAGAGGUGAAAGCUAGCAGCUUAACUGUUAAAUUGCCUUUGAUACUGUUAUUCUUGAGUAUAGUUGGCGUUGGCGGAAUGUGACAUGUAGCGGUGAAAUGCGUAGAUAUGUCACAGAACACCGAUCGCGAAGGCAGCUAACGAGACUAUCACUGACACUGAUGCACGAAAGCGUGGGGAGCAAACAGG